This 830-nucleotide small RNA is filed under the name uncultured Acidimicrobiales bacterium. RNAcentral's name for it is "bacterial SSU rRNA". The stretch from base 1 to 490 matches the Rfam family "Bacterial small subunit ribosomal RNA", at positions 1045 to 1533 of the family's 1533-position model. Lineage: Bacteria; Bacillati; Actinomycetota; Acidimicrobiia; Acidimicrobiales. The record is from RNAcentral.
AUGGCUGUCGUCAGCUCGUGUCGUGAGAUGUUGGGUUAAGUCCCGCAACGAGCGCAACCCUUGUCCUAUGUUGCCAGCGGGUAAUGCCGGGGACUCGUAGGAGACUGCCGGGGUCAACUCGGAGGAAGGUGGGGAUGACGUCAAGUCAUCAUGCCCCUUACGUCCAGGGCUGCACACAUGCUACAAUGGCCGGUACAAAGGGCUGCUAUCCCGCGAGGGUGAGCGAAUCCCAAAAAGCCGGUCUCAGUUCGGAUCGUAGUCUGCAGCUCGACUACGUGAAGUCGGAGUCGCUAGUAAUCCCGGAUCAGCAACGCCGGGGUGAAUACGUUCCCGGGCCUUGUACACACCGCCCGUCACACCACGAAAGUCGGCAACACCCGAAGCCGGUGGCCCAACCGUAAGGAGGGAGCCGUCGAAGGUAGGGUUGAUGAUUGGGGUGAAGUCGUAACAAGGUAGCCGUAGCGGAAGCUGCGGCUGGAUCACCUCCUUUCUAGGGAUACCGGGGUACUAUCCCCGGUAGGCGCUCGGCCAGUUUGAUGGUUCAGGCCGUCCUGUUCCCGAGUUCGCCUAGAAGAACGUCGACCUCGACGAACGCUGUUGAGUUUUGAGAGACCGGCCUCGGCCGGCACCUCUGCAUAGGCGGACGCGGUUCGCGCGCACCUUGAAAACUCCAUAGCAGUAACUAGCGAAUUCUUCCUGAUCAAGAGAAUAAGGGCACACGGUGAAUGCCUUGGCGCCAAGAGCCGAUGAAGGACGUGGGCGGCUGCGAUAAGCUCGGGUGAGGUGCUGACCAACCUUUGACCCCGAGAUCUCCGAAUGGGGAAACCCGG